AGUGAACGCUGGCGGUAGGCCUAACACAUGCAAGUCGAGCGGCAGCACAGGAGAGCUUGCUCUCUGGGUGGCGAGUGGCGGACGGGUGAGGAAUACAUCGGAAUCUACUCUGUCGUGGGGGAUAACGUAGGGAAACUUACGCUAAUACCGCAUACGACCUACGGGUGAAAGCAGGGGAUCUUCGGACCUUGCGCGAUUGAAUGAGCCGAUGUCGGAUUAGCUAGGUGGCGGGGUAAAGGCCCACCAAGGCGACGAUCCGUAGCUGGUCUGAGAGGAUGAUCAGCCACACUGGAACUGAGACACGGUCCAGACUCCUACGGGAGGCAGCAGUGGGGAAUAUUGGACAAUGGGCGCAAGCCUGAUCCAGCCAUACCGCGUGGGUGAAGAAGGCCUUCGGGUUGUAAAGCCCUUAUGUUGGGAAAGAAAUCCAGCUGGCUAAUACCCGGUUGGGAUGACGGUACCCAAAGAAUAAGCACCGGCUAACUUCGUGCCAGCCGCCGCGGUAA
This 506-nucleotide ribosomal RNA is filed under the name uncultured bacterium. RNAcentral's name for it is "partial 16S ribosomal RNA". It matches the Rfam family "Bacterial small subunit ribosomal RNA", at positions 29 to 523 of the family's 1533-position model. The record is from RNAcentral.